AACAUUCCUUGUGUCUGUGGUGUGUCUCAGUUCAUUGGUGGUGGAGAGACAGCCCUGUAUGCCCACACAUCCACAGAGACCCCUGGUGCUGAAGACACAGGUGCAAUUCACUGUCAAGCUCAGAUUUCUUGUGAAGCUCCAGGAAUUCAACUAUCAACUCAAAGUGAAAGCUUUGUUUGACAAGGACGUUACAAAGAAAGGGUUUCGUAAGUUCAACAU
This is a long non-coding RNA of Coregonus clupeaformis (lake whitefish), 219 nucleotides long. RefSeq lists it as uncharacterized. NCBI's taxonomy places the organism in Eukaryota, Metazoa, Chordata, Actinopteri, Salmoniformes, Salmonidae. The transcript is spliced from 3 exons. The record is from RefSeq and is a predicted model, not a curated record.